Molecule: unclassified non-coding RNA, 315 nt
Filed under: uncultured Sordariomycetes
Lineage: Eukaryota; Fungi; Ascomycota; Sordariomycetes
Description: sequence contains ITS1
Rfam family: 5.8S ribosomal RNA (bases 1-106)
Source: RNAcentral
GAAAUGCGAUAAGUAAUGUGAAUUGCAGAAUUUAGUGAAUCAUCGAAUCUUUGAACGCAUAUUGCGCCCACCAGUUACUCUGGCGGGCAUGCCUGUUCGAGCGUCGUUUCAACAUUCAGGCCUGUCUUAGUCGCCUGGCGUUGGGGCGCUGCGGCCCGUAUUGUCCGCAGGCCCCAAAAUUUAGCGGCGGACCGGCCGUGGCCCUGAGCGUAGUAGUUUACAAUGCCUCGCUCCGGCGGCCGUGGCGCGGCCCUACCCCCCCAACUUACUCUAAAAGUUGACCUCGGAUCAGGUAGGACUACCCGCUGAACUUAA